UUUACAUCAUCCACUCUGCUUGUAAAGUUCCCUUCGAUGUUAUUUCGGGUUUUCGCCUUUCGUAGCUGGCUGUAGGUCGAAUUCCAUAGACCGACUCGAGGCUUCUUCCACCUUUCCCAUUCACUAGCAUCUUUAAUUUUCUAUCCAGCCUGGAGAUCCCAGCCAGGACGACGGAUGCGUAGGGCCGAGGACAUCGGUUGGAUUCCAGAGAGAUACGUAAGAUUUCUGGAGAACCUUAACACCAGAAGAGGUAGCCGUUUGGGAAACAGCGGAAACGUCCUAGAAUUACAAGUCCUAACUCAAUUACACCACGUUCCCUGAAGGUAGCUUUAAUUUGGAUUACUAAGUGGUCCAUUUUGAUCUAAUUCUACAAAUUAACUGCAUCUACUCUCGGAGACUACCGAUCUCUUGAAUCCAACAGUACAAAAUGCGAGGUUACGAAAUUAACCCUUUCAAUCAGUCUGGAAGUCGAGAUAACAGAGAGAAUUACGGAAUAAAAAAGUCCGACUACAAAAGUCGGGCGAGUAAUUUUCAAGCAAAACACAAAGCAGCGGACGACAA
This is a long non-coding RNA of Centruroides sculpturatus (bark scorpion), 561 nucleotides long. RefSeq lists it as uncharacterized. The record is from RefSeq and is a predicted model, not a curated record. NCBI's taxonomy places the organism in Eukaryota, Metazoa, Arthropoda, Arachnida, Scorpiones, Buthidae. The transcript has 3 exons.